UUAAGCGACUAAGCGUACACGGUGGAUGCCCUGGCAGUCAGAGGCGAUGAAGGACGUGCUAAUCUGCGAUAAGCGUCGGUAAGGUGAUAUGAACCGUUAUAACCGGCGAUUUCCGAAUGGGGAAACCCAGUGUGUUUCGACACACUAUCAUUAACUGAAUCCAUAGGUUAAUGAGGCGAACCGGGGGAACUGAAACAUCUAAGUACCCCGAGGAAAAGAAAUCAACCGAGAUUCCCCCAGUAGCGGCGAGCGAACGGGGAGCAGCCCAGAGCCUGAAUCAGUGUGUGUGUUAGUGGAAGCGUCUGGAAAGGCGCGCGAUACAGGGUGACAGCCCCGUACACAAAAAUGCACAUGCUGUGAGCUCGAUGAGUAGGGCGGGACACGUGGUAUCCUGUCUGAAUAUGGGGGGACCAUCCUCCAAGGCUAAAUACUCCUGACUGACCGAUAGUGAACCAGUACCGUGAGGGAAAGGCGAAAAGAACCCCGGCGAGGGGAGUGAAAAAGAACCUGAAACCGUGUACGUACAAGCAGUGGGAGCACGCUUAGGCGUGUGACUGCGUACCUUUUGUAUAAUGGGUCAGCGACUUAUAUUCUGUAGCAAGGUUAACCGAAUAGGGGAGCCGAAGGGAAACCGAGUCUUAACUGGGCGUUAAGUUGCAGGGUAUAGACCCGAAACCCGGUGAUCUAGCCAUGGGCAGGUUGAAGGUUGGGUAACACUAACUGGAGGACCGAACCGACUAAUGUUGAAAAAUUAGCGGAUGACUUGUGGCUGGGGGUGAAAGGCCAAUCAAACCGGGAGAUAGCUGGUUCUCCCCGAAAGCUAUUUAGGUAGCGCCUCGUGAAUUCAUCUCCGGGGGUAGAGCACUGUUUCGGCAAGGGGGUCAUCCCGACUUACCAACCCGAUGCAAACUGCGAAUACCGGAGAAUGUUAUCACGGGAGACACACGGCGGGUGCUAACGUCCGUCGUGAAGAGGGAAACAACCCAGACCGCCAGCUAAGGUCCCAAAGUCAUGGUUAAGUGGGAAACGAUGUGGGAAGGCCCAGACAGCCAGGAUGUUGGCUUAGAAGCAGCCAUCAUUUAAAGAAAGCGUAAUAGCUCACUGGUCGAGUCGGCCUGCGCGGAAGAUGUAACGGGGCUAAACCAUGCACCGAAGCUGCGGCAGCGACACUAUGUGUUGUUGGGUAGGGGAGCGUUCUGUAAGCCUGUGAAGGUGUGCUGUGAGGCAUGCUGGAGGUAUCAGAAGUGCGAAUGCUGACAUAAGUAACGAUAAAGCGGGUGAAAAGCCCGCUCGCCGGAAGACCAAGGGUUCCUGUCCAACGUUAAUCGGGGCAGGGUGAGUCGACCCCUAAGGCGAGGCCGAAAGGCGUAGUCGAUGGGAAACAGGUUAAUAUUCCUGUACUUGGUGUUACUGCGAAGGGGGGACGGAGAAGGCUAUGUUGGCCGGGCGACGGUUGUCCCGGUUUAAGCGUGUAGGCUGGUUUUCCAGGCAAAUCCGGAAAAUCAAGGCUGAGGCGUGAUGACGAGGCACUACGGUGCUGAAGCAACAAAUGCCCUGCUUCCAGGAAAAGCCUCUAAGCAUCAGGUAACAUCAAAUCGUACCCCAAACCGACACAGGUGGUCAGGUAGAGAAUACCAAGGCGCUUGAGAGAACUCGGGUGAAGGAACUAGGCAAAAUGGUGCCGUAACUUCGGGAGAAGGCACGCUGAUAUGUAGGUGAAGUCCCUCGCGGAUGGAGCUGAAAUCAGUCGAAGAUACCAGCUGGCUGCAACUGUUUAUUAAAAACACAGCACUGUGCAAACACGAAAGUGGACGUAUACGGUGUGACGCCUGCCCGGUGCCGGAAGGUUAAUUGAUGGGGUUAGCCGCAAGGCGAAGCUCUUGAUCGAAGCCCCGGUAAACGGCGGCCGUAACUAUAACGGUCCUAAGGUAGCGAAAUUCCUUGUCGGGUAAGUUCCGACCUGCACGAAUGGCGUAAUGAUGGCCAGGCUGUCUCCACCCGAGACUCAGUGAAAUUGAACUCGCUGUGAAGAUGCAGUGUACCCGCGGCAAGACGGAAAGACCCCGUGAACCUUUACUAUAGCUUGACACUGAACAUUGAGCCUUGAUGUGUAGGAUAGGUGGGAGGCUUAGAAGUGUGGACGCCAGUCUGCAUGGAGCCGACCUUGAAAUACCACCCUUUAAUGUUUGAUGUUCUAACGUUGACCCGUAAUCCGGGUUGCGGACAGUGUCUGGUGGGUAGUUUGACUGGGGCGGUCUCCUCCUAAAGAGUAACGGAGGAGCACGAAGGUUGGCUAAUCCUGGUCGGACAUCAGGAGGUUAGUGCAAUGGCAUAAGCCAGCUUGACUGCGAGCGUGACGGCGCGAGCAGGUGCGAAAGCAGGUCAUAGUGAUCCGGUGGUUCUGAAUGGAAGGGCCAUCGCUCAACGGAUAAAAGGUACUCCGGGGAUAACAGGCUGAUACCGCCCAAGAGUUCAUAUCGACGGCGGUGUUUGGCACCUCGAUGUCGGCUCAUCACAUCCUGGGGCUGAAGUAGGUCCCAAGGGUAUGGCUGUUCGCCAUUUAAAGUGGUACGCGAGCUGGGUUUAGAACGUCGUGAGACAGUUCGGUCCCUAUCUGCCGUGGGCGCUGGAGAACUGAGGGGGGCUGCUCCUAGUACGAGAGGACCGGAGUGGACGCAUCACUGGUGUUCGGGUUGUCAUGCCAAUGGCACUGCCCGGUAGCUAAAUGCGGAAGAGAUAAGUGCUGAAAGCAUCUAAGCACGAAACUUGCCCCGAGAUGAGUUCUCCCUGAC
Molecule: ribosomal RNA, 2792 nt
Filed under: Escherichia coli
Lineage: Bacteria; Pseudomonadati; Pseudomonadota; Gammaproteobacteria; Enterobacterales; Enterobacteriaceae
Description: bacterial LSU rRNA
Rfam family: Bacterial large subunit ribosomal RNA
Source: RNAcentral